This 253-nucleotide ribosomal RNA is filed under the name uncultured bacterium. RNAcentral describes it as "partial 16S ribosomal RNA". It matches the Rfam family "Bacterial small subunit ribosomal RNA", at positions 524 to 776 of the family's 1533-position model. The record is from RNAcentral.
UACGAAGGAUGCAAGCGUUAUCCGGAUUUAUUGGGUUUAAAGGGUGCGUAGGCGGAUCGAUAAGUCAGUGGUGAAAGCCUGCAGCUUAACUGCAGAACUGCCAUUGAUACUGUCGAUCUUGAGUAUCGUUGAAGUGGGCGGAAUGUGUGGUGUAGCGGUGAAAUGCUUAGAUAUCACACAGAACACCGAUUGCGAAGGCAGCUCACUAAGCGAAAACUGACGCUGAGGCACGAAAGCGUGGGGAGCAAACAGG